CUGUGAGCGCGCGAAUAUUGACGGUUGAAAAGCGGCGGUUGGUCAGUGAGGUGAACUGAAUCAAACAGAACUGAGGUGACCCAGCGACGAAGUUUAUCGAAGGCUACUGAUUUUCUGGAAAGUAAGUUAAUGACACAACGCAAUCUGGAGAGCACUAAAGAGGUGGUCAGAGGAACAGAAAUGAAAAGGUCUCAAGCGAAAACACGGGAGGUUGAAAAUGCACCAUUUUCUGAGACAUCUCCAGCAAAAAUGAUGAAGGCACAGCAUUUCAAAUCAGCAGCUGGAGACACGUCUUAUGGGUUUGAAAUAGCAUUAGAAGGCAAGUCCUGGUUUUCUCUUUCAUCCUGUG
Cyprinus carpio (common carp) is the source of this 349-nucleotide long non-coding RNA. RefSeq lists it as uncharacterized. Lineage: Eukaryota; Metazoa; Chordata; Actinopteri; Cypriniformes; Cyprinidae. The record is from RefSeq and is a predicted model, not a curated record.